RNAcentral lists this ribosomal RNA (443 nucleotides) under uncultured bacterium. RNAcentral's name for it is "partial 16S ribosomal RNA". It matches the Rfam family "Bacterial small subunit ribosomal RNA", at positions 338 to 795 of the family's 1533-position model. The record is from RNAcentral.
CCUACGGGUGGCAGCAGUGGGGAAUAUUGGGCAAUGGGCGCAAGCCUGACCCAGCAACGCCGCGUGAAGGAAGAAGGCUUUCGGGUUGUAAACUUCUUUUCUCAGGGACGAAGCAAGUGACGGUACCUGAGGAAUAAGCCACGGCUAACUACGUGCCAGCAGCCGCGGUAAUACGUAGGUGGCAAGCGUUAUCCGGAUUUACUGGGUGUAAAGGGCGUGUAGGCGGGAAAGCAAGUCAGAUGUGAAAACCAUGGGCUCAACCUGUGGCCUGCAUUUGAAACUGUUUUUCUUGAGUACUGGGGAGGCAGACGGAAUUCCUAGUGUAGCGGUGAAAUGCGUAGAUAUUAGGAGGAACACCAGUGGCGAAGGCGGUCUGCUGGACAGCAACUGACGCUGAGGCGCGAAAGCGUGGGGAGCAAACAGGAUUAGAGACCCCUGUAGUC